CAAAUUUAAAUUUUAACUUCUUAGAACAAUUUUUUCACGAUUGGAAAAAAUCGAACUUUAACAAGACAUAUUUUAAAAUAUUAAUAGAAAAAUAUGGACGUUUCAGUAGAAAUGCUCAACCGAGUAUCCAAGUACACAAGAAUUCUCGGCAAAUUAAAGCAGAAAUGUGGCUGCAACAGAUUUUUCAUCUACAAAUUUUUAAUGAUUAUACUAGCUGUAUACACCGCAGUUGAAUUUGUCUGCACUUUCACAUCGAUCGUCUAUCUCAUUUACGCUUCGAAGAAUGCGAUUCAAAGAGGAACACUACGAGAUACAAAAGUUAUACUGACAUAUUGGGUGAUAUUUGGAUUAAUUCAACUGUUUGAAAAUUUAUUUGAUGCCGUAAUGACUUGUAUUCUUUAAUAUUGGUUGAUGAAGGUAAGCAUCAUUCUAAAUUUUUUAUAUACAGAGGGGCCAUUAUUAAAGUUUUUAUAUUCAGAGCAGUCUGUAGCUGUAAC
Molecule: long non-coding RNA, 497 nt
Organism: Centruroides sculpturatus (bark scorpion)
Lineage: Eukaryota; Metazoa; Arthropoda; Arachnida; Scorpiones; Buthidae
Exons: 3
Source: RefSeq, a predicted model, not a curated record